AUCACCUGGGGAGCUUGUUAAAAUGCAGGUUCUGUUUCUGGGCCCCAGGUGGGGCUCUAGACUCUGCAUCUCUAGCAAGUUCUCAAGUGAUGCUGA
This 96-nucleotide microRNA precursor is filed under the name Papio anubis (olive baboon). RNAcentral describes it as "mir-544 microRNA precursor family". It matches the Rfam family "mir-544 microRNA precursor family". The record is from Rfam by way of RNAcentral. Lineage: Eukaryota; Metazoa; Chordata; Mammalia; Primates; Cercopithecidae. RNAcentral also lists the same sequence under 1 other name.